Molecule: transfer RNA, 67 nt
Filed under: Salmo salar (Atlantic salmon)
Lineage: Eukaryota; Metazoa; Chordata; Actinopteri; Salmoniformes; Salmonidae
Rfam family: tRNA
About the family: Transfer RNA (tRNA) molecules are approximately 80 nucleotides in length. Their secondary structure includes four short double-helical elements and three loops (D, anti-codon, and T loops).
Source: Rfam by way of RNAcentral
UCCCGUGUGGCUCAGUUGGUAGAGCAUGGUGUUUGCAAUGCCAGGGUGGGUUCGAUUCCCACGGGGA